Molecule: ribosomal RNA, 443 nt
Filed under: uncultured bacterium
Lineage: Bacteria
Description: bacterial SSU rRNA
Rfam family: Bacterial small subunit ribosomal RNA
Source: RNAcentral
GACGAACGCUGGCGGCGUGCUUAACACAUGCAAGUCGAACGGAAUCCAUGGUGUAGCAAUACACCGGAAGAUUUAGUGGCGAACGGGUGAGGAUCACGUGAGAAACGUGCCCCANGACUCUGGGAUAACAAUUGGAAACGAUUGCUAAUACCGGAUGACGUCGGAGAAUCGCAUGAUUCACUGACGAAAGAUAUUUCGGUUUGGGAGCGUCUCGCGGCCUAUCAGCUUGUUGGUGGGGUAAUGGCCUACCAAGGCAACGACGGGUAGCUGGUCUGAGAGGAUGAUCAGCCACACUGGGACUGAGACACGGCCCAGACUCCUACGGGAGGCAGCAGUGGGGAAUCUUGCGCAAUGGGCGAAAGCCUGACGCAGCAACGCCGCGUGCGGGAUGAAGGCCUUCGGGCUGUAAACCGCUUUCAGCAGGAACGAAAAUGACGGUACCU